UCCUCCUUUUGGGGGGGGAAGGGACUGCAAGAGUUUUAUCACGCAGAUUGCCUCUUCUUCUUUCUGGGGGAUGGAGAGGGCCCACGUGACAGAUUACCUCAUUGGUGCUGACCAGAAAAUUCCAGACUAGUUG
This is a non-coding RNA of Ceratotherium simum simum (southern white rhinoceros), 133 nucleotides long. The record is from RefSeq and is a predicted model, not a curated record. NCBI's taxonomy places the organism in Eukaryota, Metazoa, Chordata, Mammalia, Perissodactyla, Rhinocerotidae.